This 224-nucleotide long non-coding RNA is filed under the name Panax ginseng (ginseng). Its description in RNAcentral is "long non-coding RNA (PGIN_LNC001008)". Lineage: Eukaryota; Viridiplantae; Streptophyta; Magnoliopsida; Apiales; Araliaceae. The record is from RNAcentral.
AAAUAUAUUUUUGAAUAUUAUGGUGUGGAUAUAAUAUAAUGUUAUAGUUAUAGGUAAUAUUUACAAAUUUUGCAAAGUAAGCAAGUGGUUAUAUAAUAUUCGAUUGGUUGGGGAAUAUUCGUUUUAACAGGGAAUAUUCAUACGACGACACAAUCAUUGGUGGACCCCACAACGGAAGUAUUGUCAUAAUUAGAAAACGACAUAAUUAUCAUUUUAUAAAAAUA